This 292-nucleotide long non-coding RNA is filed under the name Vigna radiata. Its description in RNAcentral is "long non-coding RNA (VRAD_LNC016405)". Lineage: Eukaryota; Viridiplantae; Streptophyta; Magnoliopsida; Fabales; Fabaceae. The record is from RNAcentral.
ACGAGGAAGCCCCCAAAGGAGCUCAUCCCGGUAUGAAAGGAGAACCGAUCGACGAUAUGACAAUCGGCCGAGCGAUAACAAGGAAACAAGACAUAGGAGCAGGAUUAGGGACGAAGGUGGAGGUCGCCCUCUGAGAGGGAUGAUAAAUACCAUAUCAGGAGGAUUCGAUGGGGGGGAUCAUCCUCUUCAGCCACAAAAGAAGUAUACGGGCAUUAAGGUCGAUACACGCUGUGGACGUCCCUAAAAGGACUAUGCCUCCCAUAACCUUCUCUGAUGAAGAUUUCCAUGCGCC